GAUGAACGCUGGCGGCGUGCUCAACACAUGCAAGUCGAACGAUGAAGCCCAGCUUGCUGGGUGGAUUAGUGGCGAACGGGUGAGUAACACGUGAGUAACCUGCCCUUGACUCUGGGAUAAGCCUGGGAAACUGGGUCUAAUACUGGAUAUGACUUCUCAUCGCAUGGUGGGGGGUGGAAAGAUUUAUUGGUCUUGGAUGGACUCGCGGCCUAUCAGCUUGUUGGUGAGGUAAUGGCUCACCAAGGCGACGACGGGUAGCCGGCCUGAGAGGGUGACCGGCCACACUGGGACUGAGACACGGCCCAGACUCCUACGGGAGGCAGCAGUGGGGAAUAUUGCACAAUGGGCGCAAGCCUGAUGCAGCGACGCCGCGUGAGGGAUGACGGCCUUCGGGUUGUAAACCUCUUUCAGUAGGGAAGAAGCGAGAGUGACGGUACCUGCAGAAGAAGCGCCGGCUAACUACGUG
RNAcentral lists this ribosomal RNA (466 nucleotides) under uncultured bacterium. Its description in RNAcentral is "partial 16S ribosomal RNA". It matches the Rfam family "Bacterial small subunit ribosomal RNA", at positions 28 to 507 of the family's 1533-position model. The record is from RNAcentral.